This is a long non-coding RNA of Bicyclus anynana (squinting bush brown), 1947 nucleotides long. RefSeq lists it as uncharacterized. The record is from RefSeq and is a predicted model, not a curated record. Lineage: Eukaryota; Metazoa; Arthropoda; Insecta; Lepidoptera; Nymphalidae. The transcript has 3 exons.
AAUAAAAAAAAAAACAGUAUAAAUAUAUCUAUAACUAACAACAGUUUUGGUUUCCGUCAACAGCACUACUAGGUACUCGUAUCUUCUGGCUGAGGGAAUCUACGAGUACUUCUGUGACAGCUAUAUGAAUUAUAUUAUGAAAAGUCUAGACAGGCGGGCUGUAUGUAAGUGUAGAGCUGUAGAGCGAGCCCUUGCCGUUUAAUCUUUCGUUUCCGUCAUACGUUAUAAUUAUACCGCUUAAAGGGCAUUGAGGUUACCUCGCGCGGAAGAUGUACAAACUCGGAGCUAAAAAUACUCGGAUUCAGAAGAAAAUUUUCCACUUACAAGCAAACCUCCCGGGUGCGUAUCAUCGCGGAUUUUCUGAGACUUGCCGAUUUUGUCAACAAAAUGUAAUUUAAGUUUUUACUUAUUUAUUUUAUUUAUGUUCACGAGACUAAGCUGCAUAUGCAUGCCUGUGUAUCCUACCACUAAGGAGACGGGAACUUCUGGGCCCAAGUUGUAAUAGGUUGAAAGAUAGCUUAAAAAAUCCGUUAUUUUUUUCUACUAAAUCAUUUAAAAAAUCAGCUCAAUUCACAAUCUGGAAGAUGAGAAAUGUAAAAAAUAAGAUAAGAUCAAAAAUAAAAUAGGUAAUCGAUAAUUUUAAUCGAUUUGUAUGCAUAUCAAUUUUACAUAAAAAUAUAGAAGAGGCUAAUGGGGAUAUAAAUAUAGUAACAAUAUUAAAAACUAUUUAGUUCAAUUAAAUUAAUCUACUGUGAAUCAAGAGAUAUAAGUAAUAAAUAGAAAUCUAAAAAUCGAUUCUCAUUUACAAAAUCGUUUCACGACUCUAUUUUUAUCUAUGUUGACAGUGACAUGACACUGACAGCAGUCCCGGCGACCGGCGUAUGCGUUUAAAAAACUUUGUUUACACGUUUGACUUUGGCUCCUUAGUUUGGAUUUAUUUGCCGGCUUAUCGAUUGGAAAUCGACAUCAUGGGUCUUUGUGUGAACUGUGGCAUAGAAAAGAAAAAGGAAAAAGCAACUACUAGUUGUAAUACCACAGGCAGACGAGUCUUGAAUGACGAAAUGAUUCUCUUAGUGAUUCGUCGAUGGCGUACACCGCAGCCUGUAAACAACAGUGACUAUAUUUGCUAAGCUUGCUGGAACAAACAUCAGCUAUUGAUCAACCAAGACAAUUUGGCCACCGUAAUGUUUGCCUCCGCUGUGGUCGCUCUGUUGCAUCACAAGUCACUCAUCUGCUUCCUACAGGCUCAUCUUGUGAACUGAGAAUUUAUAAGGCCAUAGAAGAAUGUAUUAUGCCUCAAACUAUAAAACAAGGAAGCCACAUCUGCCAUAAUUGUUGGGUGGCUGCAGACAGGGCUGCUGUCCAUAUAGUCUCAGGCCCAUCAACUUCUUCCCGAGUUCUAACUGAGCCUCCUGCUAGCCAGCCUGGAGAAGAUAGAAACAACCAACCAGAACCUACUAUUGUAUUACCAGGAUAUAUGAGAGCUGUUCCUCUUUUUAAAGUAUUAUGUUCCUGAGAAUAAUCGUCUAUGUGAUAUUCAUUUAGUUAUUGAAGGCUGGGAUGUAAUGAUAAUUUAAAUGUUUUUCCCCAGCUAACCCACAGUGAACUAAUUCUCAUACCAUUAGGUAUUUAUCAAAUUGUUUCAAAAAUGUUGUUUGCUUUGUUAAAAAGCAGGCACGUUCAUAUUAUGGAGAGAAUGUAAGGGGUAACGAUGGUUAUUUAAUAGAAGUGUGCAGGGAGGUCAGCAGUAGCCUACUUCGAGAGCUGUCGGCUUCAAAUAGCUCAUGGCUACUUCGGGGAUAUAAGUCGAAAAACUUAUUUUGUUUAUUGGUAGAGAAGCAAUAUUGAAUGAUUAUUUCAAUUGCAUUGUAGGCAAAAGGGCUGUAGGCUUCUGCGCACAUGUUAUGUCAAUAAUAUAGUACCUUAGUCGGGCUAGGUAUCAAGAAA